ACUAGUGACAAGUCAUGGAUAUUCACUCUUUUCGAGGCCCGGAAAGGCUAUGGAGAAUUUCAGCCUGUCCGUGACCAUAGUUAAGCACACGCACCAGCUCAGAAAGGCUGUAAGUUGUGUUCUUUAGCUAUAAGUGAAUUAAAAUCUCAAAUGAUGUUAGUGUAAUAUCUAAAACAUGAGGGGGUUUUGUGAAAACUCAAUAAACCUUAGGAACCUGAUGUUGAAACCUUAGGUCAGGACCGGUUGGCUCCGCUAUAUAUAGCUGAUACAAUCUCAACAUCAUUUCAGCAAAGGAAGCUGUAGAAUAUAUAUCCACCACAGUGCUUUUUUGAUCAAGAGAGAGAGAUCACAUCAUCAGAAAGGAAUGGCACAAACAGGGGGACCGCGGGGAGGAGGACGGUCGUGCUGUUGUUGCUUAUGUGACCUCUGUAAUGCAGUGAUAUCAUGCUCUCAAGCACUGCUAACAUGUUGUGGCUUGUUUGGGAGCUGCUCUGGGAGCUAAUCAGGGACCUGCUAAUACCGGUUAUUGAACAAUCGUGAUGUUCCAGGCUUGUUGAUCACAAUAUCGUGUCUGUAAUGUUUUCUGUUUGAGUGUGAUUAAAUGUAAUAUAACUAAGAAACAAGCGAGAUGUGUUAGCAUGUUGCAAACGCAGUGUUGCAACUGGCUUAUCAGUGUUUGUCCCUUGAUAUCUACCAAAAGUUCGUGUGUAAUUUAAUCAGUUCGCAAAUCUUAAAUGUAAUAUAACUAAUAAACAAGCGAGAUGUGUUAGUA
Long non-coding RNA from Pyrus x bretschneideri (Chinese white pear), 772 nucleotides. RefSeq lists it as uncharacterized. The record is from RefSeq and is a predicted model, not a curated record. Lineage: Eukaryota; Viridiplantae; Streptophyta; Magnoliopsida; Rosales; Rosaceae. The transcript is spliced from 2 exons.